UUGGAGGGCAAGUCUGGUGCCAGCAGCCGCGGUAAUUCCAGCUCCAAUAGCGUAUAUUAAAGUUGUUGCAGUUAAAAAGCUCGUAGUUGAAUUUCGGGAUCAAUUUGCUGGUCGUGCCUCUGGUACGUACUGGUAUUAUUGGUUUCUCCCUUCUGACGAACCAUGAUGUCAUUAAUUUGAUGUCGUGGAGAAUCAGGACUGUUACUUUGAAAAAAUUAGAGUGUUUAAAGCAGGCAUUAGCUUGAAUACAUUAGCGUGGAAUAAUGAAAUAGGACGUUUGAUCCUAUUUUGUUGGUUUCUAGGAUUGACGUAAUGAUUAAUAGGGAUAGUUGGGGGCAUUAGUAUUCAAUUGUCAGAGGUGAAAUUCUUGGAUUUAUUGAAGACUAACUACUGCGAAAGCAUUUGCCAAGGAUGUUUUCAUUAAUCAAGAACGAAAGUUAGGGGAUCGAAGACGAUCAGAUACCGUCGUAGUCUUAACCAUAAACUAUGCCGACUAGGGAUCGGAUGAUGUUAAUUUUUUAAUGACUCAUUCGGCGCCUUACGGGAAACCAAAGUGUUUGGGUU
This 564-nucleotide ribosomal RNA is filed under the name Glomeromycotina sp. Its description in RNAcentral is "SSU rRNA". It matches the Rfam family "Eukaryotic small subunit ribosomal RNA", at positions 548 to 1113 of the family's 1831-position model. Lineage: Eukaryota; Fungi; Glomeromycota. The record is from RNAcentral.